RNAcentral lists this long non-coding RNA (3011 nucleotides) under Pan troglodytes (chimpanzee). RNAcentral describes it as "lincRNA". Lineage: Eukaryota; Metazoa; Chordata; Mammalia; Primates; Hominidae. The record is from RNAcentral.
CUUGUGCCUUAGCCUCCCGAGUAGCUGGAACUACAGACAUGCGCCAUGAUGUCCAUCUAAUUUUCAUAUAUAUAUAUAUAUAUAUGUAUUUUUUUUUUUAACAGACAUGGGGGUUUCACCAUGUUGGCCAGGCUGGUCUCGAACUUCUGACCUCAGGUGAUCCACCCACCUCAGCCACCCAAAGUACUGGGAUUACAGGUGUGAGCCACACCUGGUUUCCUUAUUAUUUUCACUUGUCAAAUGUGUAUGUACGUAUAUUUGUGUGUGUAUGUUUUUUAAUGUUGUACAUACAUACAUUUUUUUUUUCUUUUUCACUCUGUUGUCCAGGCUGGAGUGCAGUGGCGUGAUCUCAGCUUACUGCAACCUCUGCCUCCCAGGUUCAAGCAAUUCUCCUGUCUCAGCCUCCAGAGUAGCUGGGAUUACAGGUGCACACCACCAUGCCUGGCUAGUUUUUAUAUUUUUAGUAGAGGUGGGGUUUCAACAUAUUGGUCAGGCUGGUCUCGAACUCCUGACCUCAGGUGAUCCACCCACCUCAGCCUCCCAAAGUGCUUGGAUUACAGGCAUGAGCCACCAUGCCCAGCUGAAACAUACAUUUUUAUGUUGUAGGUUUUCUUCAAAGGAAUCCAAAUUCUACAACAGCAGGAAUGAUAUACCCAGCACUUACCAUAGUCUGGCUUAUAUGGGCAGGCAAUUAUUUAUGGAUGAAUGAAUUUCUAUUGCCACAGUGCAGGUUUUAAUUCUUUUCAACAAAGAUUAUAAGCUCCUUAAAAGCAGAGAUUGUCUAAUUAAAGUUUGAUCUUCCACAGCUCAGUAGGCAGUGUCUUGGACACAGAAGGUAGGUGUUCUAUAGAUAUUUAUUCUAUGAAUCUUGAAUUACUAACCUAGACUCUCUUUCUCUUCUAAUUCACAUAGCAUAUGUGAUUGAUUAAAGUUCACAACUCAUUGUUGGUAAUGUCAUAUAAAUUAUUAGGCUUGUUGUCCAGUUUGGAAAAAUCUCCAAUAAGCUAUUUAUUUAUUUAGACACAGGAUCUCUUUCUGUUGCCCAGGCUGGAGUGCAGUAGUGAGACCACAGCUUGCUGCAUCCUAUAUCCUGAUCCUCUAGCCUCAGCCUCCUGAAUAGCUGGGACUACAGACACAUAUCACCACACCCAGCUAAUUAAAAAAACUUUUUUUGUAGAGAUAAGGUCUCACCAUCUUGCCCUGGCUGGUCUCAAACUUCUGGCCUAGGUGGGAGGAUUGCUUGAACCCAGGAGUUCAAGACCAGCCUGGACACAUGGUGAGACCUGUCUCUGCAAACAAAACAAAAUCCUACAGAAAACCCGGACAUGGUUGUGCAUGCCUGUAGUCCCAGCUACUUGGGAGGUGGGAGGAUCGCUGGAGCGCAGUAGUUGGAGGUUACGGUGAGCUAUGAUCAUGCAACUCCACUCCAGCCUGGGUGACAGAGUGAAACCCUGUCUCUAAAAAAAAAAACACUUUUUUGGCUAGGUAUUGAUGAAUGCUAAAUCUUUACAAUUUUACACAUCCAAUAAUUGGAAUAAUUUCCCACAGAUUAGCUUCAGGUUCCCAAAAUUUCAACCCUGCUUCUCUUCUACUAUUCACAUAGUUUUUGAUGCUAGAACAUUGGACACAUUAAAAUAACUUCAAGAGUUCUGGCCCUGCACCUUUGUUUUGCAAUGCUGGGUAGAUCAGCACAACGGGCAAUUGGAGUAUUCUUGGAAGCCACUGGGACAGCUGGCAAUAUCUUAACUACACAUGGAAGUGACUGUGGGUUAUAAAAAUAUAUCCCAGUAAAUUCAAACCAAAUGUAUUCCUAACUCAACUUCCCUUUAGCUAAAUUUCAAAAAUGUUUGCUUGCCACUCCAACACUAGACAAAGGGAAACAUGGUGGAGGGAAGUCACUAAGGACUAAAGAUUGCAGUUUAAAAUACAUUACUUUUAUAAAUUUUACAAAAGCAUAGGACAGUGUGAACAUAUUACUAGGGACCCUUCCAGGGACUUGGAAAGGGCUAGUGUAAAUGAGGGCACCUGAAGUUGAAGCCUCCUUAGCUUCACAGUAAAUCUGCUUCAGAGUCUACGGCCAUUUUAAUUACUGAGUAAACUGUCAACUUUCAGAGUCAGCUCUAUGUAGGGCUAGUGAAUAUGUUGAUUACAGCUCCAUUUGAGGAAGUUUUUUUUUUUUUUUUUUGAGAUGGAGUCUGACUCUGUCCCCAGGCUGGAGUGCAAUGGUGUGAUCUCAGCUCACUGCAACCUCUGCCUCCUGGGUCCAAAUGAUUCUCAUGCCUCCGCCUCCUGAGUAGCUGGGAUUACAGGUGUGUGCCACCAUGCCCAGCUAAUUUUUGUAUUUUUAGUAGAGACAGGGUUUCACCAUGUUGGCCAGGAUGGUCUUGAUCUCCUGACCUUGUGAUCCGUCUGCCUUGGCCUCCCAAAGUGCAGGGAUUACAGGUGUGAGCCACCGCGCGCCCUGCCUCUUUGGUCUUAUAAUUACUUUAUACUCCUAAAAAGUAUUGAGGACUCCAAAAAGCUUUUAUGUGGAUCAUAUUUAUCAACAUUUACUAUAUUAGGAAUUAAAACAAACAUAUAAAAUAUUUAUUCAUUUAAAACAACAAUAAUAAACCUGUUACAUGUUAACAUAACAUAAAUAACUUUUUUUUUGAGAGAGGGUCUGGCCAUGUUGCCCAGGCUGAUUUUGAACUCCUGGGCUCAGGUGAUCUUCCCGCCUCGGCCUCCCAAAGUGCUGGGAUUACAGGUGUGAGCCACUUCAUUUGGCCUAAUAACAUAUUUUUAAUGAAAAAUAACUAUUUUCCAAAGCAAAAUAAUUUAGUGAGAAGAGUGGCAUUAUUUUACAUUUCUGCAAAUCUCUUCAGUGUCUGGGCUAAUAGAAGAUUCUCAUAUCUGCGUCUGCGUUCCAUCUGUAUCACAGGCAUGUAGUCUCUGGAAGACCUCACUGUAUUGUUAUUAGAGUGAAAAAGGCAGUAAGUCUUAGUAUGAAAAUAAAGUCUUAGUAUGAAAAU